This 484-nucleotide ribosomal RNA is filed under the name uncultured bacterium. Its description in RNAcentral is "partial 16S ribosomal RNA". It matches the Rfam family "Bacterial small subunit ribosomal RNA", at positions 28 to 507 of the family's 1533-position model. The record is from RNAcentral.
AUUGAACGCUGGCGGCAUGCUUUACACAUGCAAGUCGAACGGCAGCGCGGGCUUCGGCCUGGCGGCGAGUGGCGAACGGGUGAGUAAUGCAUCGGAACGUGCCCAGUAGUGGGGGAUAGCCCGGCGAAAGCCGGAUUAAUACCGCAUACGCCCUGAGGGUGAAAGCGGGGGACCGAAAGGCCUCGCGCUCUUGGAGCGGCCGAUGUCGGAUUAGCUAGUUGGUGGGGUAAAGGCUUACCAAGGCGACGAUCCGUAGCUGGUCUGAGAGGACGACCAGCCACACUGGGACUGAGACACGGCCCAGACUCCUACGGGAGGCAGCAGUGGGGAAUUUUGGACAAUGGGGGCAACCCUGAUCCAGCCAUGCCGCGUGCGGGAAGAAGGCCUUCGGGUUGUAAACCGCUUUUGUUCGGGAAGAAAUCCUCUGGGCUAAUACCCCGGGGGGAUGACGGUACCGGAAGAAUAAGCACCGGCUAACUACGUG